UCGACCGCCUGGGGAGUACGGCCGCAAGGUUAAAACUCAAAUGAAUUGACGGGGGCCCGCACAAGCGGUGGAGCAUGUGGUUUAAUUCGAUGCAACGCGAAGAACCUUACCUGGUCUUGACAUCCACAGAACUUUCCAGAGAUGGAUUGGUGCCUUCGGGAACUGUGAGACAGGUGCUGCAUGGCUGUCGUCAGCUCGUGUUGUGAAAUGUUGGGUUAAGUCCCGCAACGAGCGCAACCCUUAUCCUUUGUUGCCAGCGGUUAGGCCGGGAACUCAAAGGAGACUGCCAGUGAUAAACUGGAGGAAGGUGGGGAUGACGUCAAGUCAUCAUGGCCCUUACGACCAGGGCUACACACGUGCUACAAUGGCAUAUACAAAGAGAAGCGACCUCGCGAGAGCAAGCGGACCUCAUAAAGUAUGUCGUAGUCCGGAUUGGAGUCUGCAACUCGACUCCAUGAAGUCGGAAUCGCUAGUAAUCGUAGAUCAGAAUGCUACGGUGAAUACGUUCCCGGGCCUUGUACACACCGCCCGUCACACCAUGGGAGUGGGUUGCAAAAGAAGUAGGUAGCUUAACCUUCGGGAGGGCGCUUACCACUUUGUGAUUCAUGACUGGGGUGAAGUCGUAACAAGGUAACCGUAGGGGAACCUGCGGUUGGAUCACCUCCUUA
This 668-nucleotide ribosomal RNA is filed under the name Klebsiella pneumoniae. RNAcentral describes it as "bacterial SSU rRNA". It matches the Rfam family "Bacterial small subunit ribosomal RNA", at positions 865 to 1533 of the family's 1533-position model. RNAcentral also lists the same sequence under 1 other name. The record is from RNAcentral. Lineage: Bacteria; Pseudomonadati; Pseudomonadota; Gammaproteobacteria; Enterobacterales; Enterobacteriaceae.